Non-coding RNA from Phascolarctos cinereus (koala), 385 nucleotides. The record is from RefSeq and is a predicted model, not a curated record. Lineage: Eukaryota; Metazoa; Chordata; Mammalia; Diprotodontia; Phascolarctidae.
GUGAUCUUGGAGUCUGGUACAAAAACCUCCGGAGAUGUGACCAGUAUGCAAUGUCAAUGGUGAAGAGAUGCCUGAUUUUCUUUGUAAGGAAAUUUGGAAAUGCAUUCAACAUAACUGGAGUCAUCAGAUUGGUAAAAGAGACUACAGCCUCUGACCUUGGGAGUUCAAAAAAAGACCCUUCAGCGUCUUAGCAUUCCGGAGUCUGGAUUCCAAAGACAGAGCAGCACUUGUGACCCAAGGAAUAAGAAGUAACCUUUCGGCCCCAGCCCAGUGGUAGUGGAGACAAAGACUCAUCCAGCAGAUAUGUCACUUUUGGAUGUGAACUUGGUAAGGUCAAUGAAUGCUAUGUAGGAACUGAAGUAAGUUGAGCCCACUCCCCUCAAAG